AAGUCGUAACAAGGUUUCCGUAGGUGAACCUGCGGAAGGAUCAUUAACACGUAUCCAACGUUAAAAACCCCGUGCAUUUUAACCCUGCUCUCCUCACCUCAACAAGCAAUCUCUGGUAAAUCACACCAAACAGUUUGAUUCAGAGACCUCUUGAAGACGUGUGGAUGGAGCGGUAGAGCAAAUAGACUUGGUUUCCGAAAGGAUAACUGAUACUUAUUCAGCGGACAGGUCUCUGGGGCUUCGGCUCCCCAUAUUAAACCCGUAUGUGAAAGUCGGGCUUGCAAACUACAGGCCCACAAAACGAACAACUGUUAACAAUGGAUAUCUUGGUUCUC
This 335-nucleotide unclassified non-coding RNA is filed under the name fungal sp. RNAcentral describes it as "partial internal transcribed spacer region". The stretch from base 1 to 46 matches the Rfam family "Eukaryotic small subunit ribosomal RNA", at positions 1786 to 1831 of the family's 1831-position model. Lineage: Eukaryota; Fungi. The record is from RNAcentral.